GUGCCCUUCUCCUCCUGCAGGAAUAAGUUUGUUGCUGACUUAGUGGGAAGUAGAUGCCUCAAUAUUUGGAUAGAUCUGACCUUUGGAUUUAGAAGCUUGAUGCCCAUAGUGGGACAAUCGCUUUAGCAAACCACAGUAGAAGGGACAUAGAGUCAUUAGCAAUGAAUGAGAGAGAUUUUAUUUGCGCAAGUUGAUAAAAUCAGGGCAAAAUCAGAGCUUUCUGUGUGAGUUUCUGUAAAUAAACUGCCUGUAUAGUGGAGUGAAUUUGGCACAUCUGGCCGUAGGAUUUAUGUGGCUUUUGUAGCCCUCAAUCCGGAGAUAGCAGAGGGGGCUGAAGCUCUUAUUGCAGAUACCUCCAUCAAUUCUUGAAUUAUCUUGGCAGAGGUCUUCGCUGUGAUUCAUUGCAGACAACGAGGAAGGACUCUGGCAGGUGAUGUAUUGCUCUAAAGCCCAGCUAGGCUUGUCACAACCCUUUCACUGCUCCUAAAGUAGGAUAGAAAGCUGUGUGUGUAUCUGGAGUCUUCCAGCAAGCAUUGCCUUCACAUGUAGCUUUGUGCUGCCAUGCCUGUUCUGCCAAGGUUGUCAGGCAUGUGUUGGCCCACACAUUUCCUUGUGUUGCAGCUGCAUCUGGAUAUCUGGGCAGACAGGUUAGGGGCUAGCCUACCAGCUAUUACCUGCCUGGACCAAGCUUUUGGUUGGUGUAAAUCCAAGAAAGCCAACUUGUCUCCACUGCACAUACGGCCCCAUUGCUGUCCCUCUCUUUUUGACUUCAAAUUUGGAGAAGGCUAUGGCAUCAAUUAGCCAAAGGGGAGGGCAGAUGAUUAAAGCAGACCCAGGAGACACGAGUUGUUUAGGCAUAGGCAAACAGCAAUUGGUGAGGAAUAUUGUCAUCCACAGAGAGUCUGGGGAUGGAUUGGCAGUGAAAGAGUGAGGGGGGAAAGAAAAAC
Molecule: long non-coding RNA, 947 nt
Organism: Pezoporus flaviventris
Lineage: Eukaryota; Metazoa; Chordata; Aves; Psittaciformes; Psittacidae
Exons: 3
Source: RefSeq, a predicted model, not a curated record